UACCCAAUCCCGACACGGGGAGGUAGUGACGAAAAAUAACGUGGCGGGGCCCUUUCGUGGUCGCCGCGGGCGGAAUGAGCGCAAUUUAAAAGAGUGUGCGAGGAGCUAUUGGAGGGCAAGCCUGGUGCCAGCAGCCGCGGUAAUUCCAGCUCCAAUAGCCUAUAUCGGAGUUGCUGCGGUUAAAAAGCUCGUCGUUGGAUCUCGGAGGCGGCACGGUCGGGCGCGAUACGCUGCGGGUCCGACCGGCGAUUUCUCGGCCGUCCCUAACCGGCGCGCGGGGCGAGGUGGACCUCGCGGUCCUGCCUCGUUUUUCUCCUUCGCGGGA
Molecule: ribosomal RNA, 325 nt
Filed under: Bathyacmaea nipponica
Lineage: Eukaryota; Metazoa; Mollusca; Gastropoda; Acmaeidae
Description: SSU rRNA
Rfam family: Eukaryotic small subunit ribosomal RNA
Source: RNAcentral